CUCCCUGUUGGCACGGCGGGCUGGACGCUGUGGCUGCCACUGCAUACCGCCAGAAACAGAUCCAAAUUCCAAACUCCAAGAACGGUUUCUCCUGAUUGAGUGUUGCUUUCGCGCCUUCACAAAGUCAAAAAAUUGAAGAAUGGAACCCUGGGCCAUGGAUCUGAGCAUGGGCAGCCCCCCGGUCUGGGUUGUUUCUUCCAAGUGCCCCCGCCCUACUGGGGAACAUGUCCUCUGCCUCAACAGAGGCUGUGUACAGGAACCUACCAAAGCCUGCAGACAGCAAAGCAUCUGAGAUUCUGUUGAUCUGGAGUGAAACUUGGCCGGAGGCAGACAUUGCCAUUGCGCCACCUGCUGGAAGUUUGGGGAAAGAAUCUGAAACUGUCAGUUUGGCUGUAGCUAGUUAACAUCACACUCCUACUGAUUAUUUUUAAUACUUCUUAUUUUGUCUUAUUACACAACUUAGAGGUUUGUUAAGACAAUUUAGGAAGUUUAUAUAAGUAAAACAAAAACACAAAAAUCACUCACAGUCUUGUCACCCAGAGAUAAACAUUUUUUUAUGUUAUGUUGUCUUUCUAGUCUUUUUUCUACUUAGAUAUGAGUAAAUACAUACACACUGUUAGUCUCAUUCAACACACAUUAUUUUAUACCCUGAUUUUCAAGCUCAACAAUGUCUUAAGCAUCUUUACAUAUCAUUAAUUAUAAUCUGCAACAUGACUUUUCCUAGCAGUUUUUUAUAUAUCCCUGAACCAAGAUUCUGGGGUAUCAUCCUAUGUAUUAAAUGCAAUGUUAUCUAUGCUUUGAGUUUUUUCUAAAUCUAAUUUUCCCCUCCUCUUUUCUCCCCUUCUUUCUUUUUCUCCUUCAUUCCUUCUUUCCUUCCUUCCAGCCUUUCGUCUUUAUUUAUUUCUUUAUUUUCCCUCUAGUAGAAAAGGUCUCAGCAGAUGUUGUUUGGAGCAGUUCCUUGCAGUAUCUCUCUCCCCCACCCCUCUGUAUGAAGGGCUCCAGAGACUUCCCACUGAGCCCUGGAUCUCUCCUCUAGGUGGUCUCUGCCUUGGAAGACAGGACACUGUAUUCUGAAUCGAUAUAGGCAAGACAGAUGGGAUCUCAAUGUAGUGCUCCUCCAGUAAAAAACCCAAAAAGCUACAACUACUGAUCACUUACUCUGUGCCAACCAAGCUCCAUUCUACAAAACUUUCAUGAUUAUCAUGGGGAAGCAUCCAAAACCCCUUUUGAGAGAGAGUACUUCUCCUUCCUUCUUUCUAUUCACUGGAUAGCUCAGGACACUGUACUUGAGAAAAGCAGAUGAACUUGCCCAAGGUCAUUAGCUCUUAGUCUGAAACCUCAGCAUGCAGUGAUCACCUAUCAAAAGGAAACAAAAUUAAACGAAAGGGAUUUCCAGAUUCUCUUUAAAGAAUUGCACAUCUGGCAACAUGGGUUUGUGCUCCCCCCACAGCAAAAAUCAGCUCAACAGAAUAUGCACACACUAGACCAGCCAGGAGUCUCCGGUUGUACCAUCUCUGGCCUUCCUGUAUUCUCCCCACCACAGAGGGGGGAUGCCUUCUGUGAACCACACCAUGCGGUGGUCUGGCCUCAUCUGACAGAACAAGGGAACUUACAACGACCAUGACAGGCUUGGGGCUUUAAGGCUGUCUGAGAACCAGGGUGUGUUUUGGCCCCCCAAAUCGCUCACCUCUCCUAUCUGUGGGUGUGGGGAUGGAGUCUUAGGGUGCUAGACCAGGAAAGGAGGGACAUAGAGAUGGAUCAGGCUGAAAUGGUUGCCGUGGGUGCCAUUACCAAAGCUACUGGAAUAAAUGUACACAUGGGCAGAUGGUAAUGGUUGUGUUAGCUUGGUUGGUUGACUGAAGUCAAAAAAGAAUAUUGGCCUGAAAUGAAGUUGCUAAAAUAUAGAACAGGAACUGGCAAACUUUUCCUCUAAAGGGACAGGCAAGUAAAACUUUUAGCCUUUGUGAAUCACGCAGUCUCUGUUGCAAUUUCUUAAUUCUACUGUGGCAAGGCUAGAGGGGCUAUGGGUGAUAUGUAAAUGAAUGGGUGUGAUCGUGGUCCAAUAAAACUUUAUUUACAAAAACA
Long non-coding RNA from Herpailurus yagouaroundi (jaguarundi), 2085 nucleotides. RefSeq lists it as uncharacterized. Lineage: Eukaryota; Metazoa; Chordata; Mammalia; Carnivora; Felidae. The transcript has 2 exons. The record is from RefSeq and is a predicted model, not a curated record.